Molecule: non-coding RNA, 1145 nt
Organism: Paramisgurnus dabryanus
Lineage: Eukaryota; Metazoa; Chordata; Actinopteri; Cypriniformes; Cobitidae
Source: RefSeq, a predicted model, not a curated record
UACAGCUCAAUGAAAAGUACGUCAAUUGCCAUAAAAGGAGAAUCAAUAUCGUUUGUUUUGGGCGCCAAAAUGAAGACUCAGCAGCAGUCAGUCAGAAGAACUCUCUCAGACGGACACCACGUUAUUAAAGUCCAUCAUCCUUGCACACACUCAAAAGCAUUGAUAAAUGCUGAAUUUAAAAGAAUCACUACUGUCUUAUGUUCCUGCGUGUCACCUGGACCUCCAAUCCAAAAACCUGAUGAAACUCUUCUAUCAGAAAGGAGGACAGCUAGCAAAAAGGCUUGGAACAAUUAAUGAUCAAAUGACAGAAGGCAUGGAUGAAGUCAGCAUCAGUGAGGUCAUUUGAAGACACCACUGUUGGGAUUUGUGCUCUCAAACAACAUGCUUCUUGUGAUGAAGAAGAGGAUCUUUGUAUAGUCCUGGAAGCCAUGAAGGUGUUGCAACAUCGUGCCAUGUUGUUUGAGCUGAUGUAUGCCUUAAACCUGAGCUAUCCUGAUCUCCGCUUUAUUUUUGAGGAAAUCCAAAAGAUUUUAAUGGAACUGCAUUGAGCGUAACUUUAACGAACUGUUUCUUUCAGUGAAAGGAUCAGAAAGACUGUGCUGCUCAUUUAUGUUCUUUUUAUUUAUCUGUUUUAAGUGUUUUCUCUUAUUAAAACAUUAACAGUUUGCUGCUCAGAGUUGAUUUUGGAAAUGGUUGUUGUAUUUUGUUUUUGUUGAAUCUUUGAUUAUCAGUUUAUACAAAUGCUGUAGCUCUGACUUUCUGAAGGAUUGAUAUGUUCCAGUUUGUAAAUCCAUUUAAAAAAUAAUAGUACUUACUGUUUUGCAUGUCUCUUCUUCGGAAUGCAGUGUUUGUGCUUUAGCACUUCUAAAUCUACUGUGAUAGUAACUAUUUUAAACAUUUGGGUCAGUUUUACAGAUGGGGCUUUUCCUAGUCCCAGACUUUUGCAAUGCCUUAAUUUGAAAACAUAUUGCACUGACAUAUCUUGACAUAUAUCAGUGCCAUUGUUUUGUCUCAAGAUGUACUCCAGUGUUGUUUUUGUAAUGUAGGUUUGUUUGUAAACUUUUUUUGUAAAAAAUAUUCUAAUAUAACUAGGGCCUAGUCAUGGACUAAUCUACAACCUGUCUGGGAAAUUGCCCCUUUGUAUG